CCUACGGGUGGCAGCAGUGGGGAAUAUUGCACAAUGGGGGAAACCCUGAUGCAGCAACGCCGCGUGGGUGAAGGAGCGUUUCCGCGCGUAAAGCCCUGUCAGCGGGGAAGAAAAACGACGGUACCCGACCACGCCGCCCUGGCUAACUACGUGCCAGCAGCCGCGGUAAUCCGUAGGGGGCGAGCGUUAUCCGGAAUUCCUGGGUGUAAAGGGAGCGUAGACGGCGAGGUAAGCCUGAAGUGGAAGCCCGCGGCCCAACCGCGGAACUGCUUUGGGAACUGGUUUGCUGGAGUAUGGGAGGGGUAAGCGGAAUUCAUGGUGUAGCGGUGAAAUGCGUAGAUAUCGAGAGGAACACUCGUGGCGAAGGCGGGUUACUGGACAUUAACUGACGCUGAGGCACGAAGGCCAGGGGAGCGAAAGGGAUUAGAUACCCUUGUAGUC
Molecule: ribosomal RNA, 441 nt
Filed under: uncultured bacterium
Lineage: Bacteria
Description: partial 16S ribosomal RNA
Rfam family: Bacterial small subunit ribosomal RNA
Source: RNAcentral